UUUUUGCAGAAGAGGUUGAAUUUUGAUAAACAGUGAAGACUUAAAAUGACACUAAGGUUUAUAACUGGCAUACUUAACAAAUAGCACGUAUGAUUUGCUCCAAAAUGUAUACGGAGAAGUUCCUCCUCUGCUCUGGGAUAAAGACAUUGGCCAUUUUUAUGAUUUAUUUGGUAAUUCUUGGUUAAAAAUUCUAUGGUCACUUUAACUUAGAAGCACAUUUUCAAUUCAGUGAUUAAAUAUGUCUGAUUCUAUGUUAUACUAGAAGCAAUGAACUUUCCUUAAACUUGUAUCUUCUAUCAUCUUCAGUUGGAUGUUCUGUAAGCUGACUUCUGGAAGUACAGAAGGUCUUUCUCUUCUUUCACUCACCCCAAGUUUACAAAUUGUGAUUUUAAAGACAUACUUUCAGUGUUAUUUGGGGAGAGUAGCAUGAAGGCACGUGUUAGAAGGAUAGUAAAGUUCUUUUGUGACUGGUUGUCAUAAGAUGAUUUAUCAUUUCAUAAACUUGGGAAAUGUUUAAAGUUUAUUCAUUUUCUGGUGAUUCCUCAAAGAUCCUCACUAAGAACAUUUCCUUGGACUUACUUUAAUGUGGGUAACGCAUUCUCCUCAGGAUUUUACCCAGGAUGCUGGCUUGCCCUCGCAGCCCAUGUUGUUUGUGGUGAAAAGUGUGUGUGUGUGUGUGUGUGUGUGUGUGUGUGUGUAUCUCCCCAAGUAGUCUUUUUUUUUUUUUUUUUUUUUUCCAAGUAGUAGUCUUAUCUGUCUCCACGAAGCACUCCCUGACACACUGGGAGCAUAUUUGCCAAUGAAACAAGAACCAUCCAAUGCUUCAUCUCAUAGACUAUCUUAGCAUGAGUCAAAUGCCUGUCCACCAUGAAUCUUUAAUUGUGGGGACACACAGUCAGCUCUAGAAGUGGUUCUGUUGAAACCACUCAUACUAGCUUGAAGGUAAAGGAACUCACAGUUCAGUCAAGCAGCUCUGUCAAGAGAUAUCUAUUGCACAAACUAAUUUAUUAAUCAGACUGCUUUUACAUGCUCAAUGUAAGUAAGAUGUACCAGGAAUAGUUUCCAGUUAUCUCUUUUUAAAAUUUUCAUCUUCUCCAUGUUGGUAUACCAUAUAUAUUAUAUAUUUAUGGUUUAGUCAAAAAUUCUAAUUUAACUUCCUGCUACAUAAUAAUUUCAGAAGCCUUUGGAGUGUCUAUAAAUGGACACUAUCUAUUAAGAUCAUUCAUUCAUCGUGUUUAUAAAAAUUCAAAUUCCUGGCCUCAUUCCAGACUUGCUAAUAUAGAAUCUCUGCUGAUAAUGCAACAUUUAUAUUUUAGCAAGCUCUUCCUAAAUGAUUAUUUGCCAUAUUAACAUUUGAAAAAGUGCAAAAAAUAUUGAGCAUUUUUACAAAUUAAUGGUUAAUACAAAUGUGGUCACAAACCAAAGACUUUAUAUUACUUUAAUUUCUAAAUAGAAAUUUAUUGGUGUAACAAUUAAUAUGAAAACUUUACAUGAACACAUGAAUCUCAAAAUGUGUAUUUUCAAAAAUUACAUAAUCUCUGAAAAUGAAAUUAUUGGUUAACUUUAAAGAUAGUUCAAAAUCUUCAUUGCUUAGAUACCAAUAAAUUAAGAUUAAAAAUAACAGAAACCUUAUGGACAGAGACAGUAAGACCCUAUGAUAUUAGGACUAGAGAAGGGGGAUUUCAGCCUUGAAUUUUAACUACAAUAGUAAAGGUCAGUAAAUUUAAAAUGCAGAAAUAUUUAAUUUGGGUGAAUGUUCAAAAUAAGUAUAUUUUAAUCAUCAUAGUUUCACUUCUACAAGAUUUUUGUUUUAAUUUACCCCUACAUUAAAUUAAAUUUCUGAUAAAAAUGAUAAUAUAAUUUUCCAAUUUCUUAAUCCUAACAUAUCCAUAUCUUCAAUUAUUUUAGAAUAUAAAGUAUUGCUCCACAAAAGUGGCACAGAAAUUAAAUUUUGUUAUAACUCCCAUAAAUAAUGGAGCUUUAGUAUGACUUUUUAUUCUGUAAAACCCAGUUAUUAGUUGAAGUUACAGUGGUCUUCAGUUAAGUGAUGAAAUGUCACAUCUCAAGGAAAUUAUAUUUUGUCAUAGGAAGCUAAGAAAUGACACUAGGAAGGGCUUUUCAAUAAAAAGUAUCAUCAGGUUAUAGACUUUUCAUUGCUUUCUUAAAAAAAUACAAAAUGCAUCUAAUUAAUUCAAGCAUUGAGUCAGUUAUGGGACUUUUCUUCUAAGAAAGCUUCAAAUACUGUUUUAUAAUUUUGGUUUGUAUGAAUCUCUUACAUAUAGCCUUCCAACAUUAAUCCCAGUUCUGCAGUCCUAAAAUACCUAGGGAACUGAUCUCUGAGCUUUCAACCUAAGCCAGUGAAAAUAUCCAUUAAUUAAAUCAUCACACAAGGAACAUUAUGACUGAUGUGGUGAUAGAGAAGUUUAGGGGAUCCCUGGGUGGCUCAGCGGUUUGGCUCCUGCUUUUGGCCCAGGGUGCGAUCCUGGAGUUGCCGGAUCAAGUCUCACAUCGGGCUCCUGGCAUGGAGCCUGCUUAUUCCUCUGCCUGUUGUCUCUGACUCUCUCUCUCUCUCUCUCUCUCUCUCUCUAUCAUAAGUAAAUUUUAAAAAAGAGAAGUUUGGCAUGCUAUAGUAAUAAAUAUCAGAAAGAUCCAAACUUGUUUAGAAAUUAAGGCAACUUUCCUAAUGAGGUAUGAUUUAAGCAAAGACCUGAAGGCUAAACAAAGUGAUAAUGGGAAGAGCUAUUUAGAGCAUGUAGAGAGGUGCAGAGGCUAAGAACAUGGCAGCUUACAAAUACUUUCAGAAUUGAAAUUAAAACAUAGUAUGUAAAAAACACAGAAAUAAGAGAAACUGGAAAGAUAAUGGACCAAAAUAUGGAAACUAUACAUAUUAUUAGUUUGCCAGGGCUGCCAUAACAAAGUACACUGGUUGACUUAAAAGAAAUUGACUUAAAAGAAAUUGAUUUUUUCACAGUUCUGGAGGCUAGAAGUCCAAGGUCAAGGUGUGGACAGAGUUGGUUUCUUCUGAAGCCUCUCUCUGGCUUGCAGAUGGCCACCUUCUUGCUUGUCCUCACAUGGUCUUCUCUGUGUGUGUGUACGUGGCUGCCUCUGUGUUCUAAUUCCUUUUAUAAAGACUUAUAGUCACAAAGCCUUAGUUAUAAAGACUACAGUAAUAUUGGACUAGGGCCCACCCUAAUGACUUCAUUUUAAUCUGAUCACCUUUUUAAAGUCCCUACUCCAAAUACAGUCACAUCUGGGGUAGGAGGAGUCAGGACUUGAACAUAUGAAUUUUGUGGGGACAUAAUUCAACCCAUAACACCAAAUGUAGAUGUUUGCACUGUAACAAAUGGAAAAUGGGCAGCACUGAAGGUUUUUAAGUCAAUAGAAUGGUGGAUAUAGUUUCUCUUUGAAAGUUAUUUCAACAUGCCCUAUGAAUAACACUUUGAAAGAAAUUAGAUUUGUGGCUUGUUAGCAAUUGCCCAGGGGAAAGACAGUAGGGCUAGCGAGGUGACCUAGGAAUGGCAAGAUGGGAGCAGAUUACCAAGAGUUAGGUGGUAAAUAAUAUUUAAUUGUGGUUUGUAUAAUCAAAGGAGAGAAAAUUGAAGAUUAGAGAAAUUAUUUCAUAUUUAAAUGCUGGUAACAGGAAACUAGUAGAAAAGAAAAAAUUGAAAAUAAAAGACAAGGUAAAGACUUUCAAAAGCAUUACAUUGAUAAAGCAAGAUCUAGGUUCAGCUAUGAAGUCAACAAUCUCCCCUGUUAGGAGCAAAGGCCUGUCCUGCAGGAAAGAGCGUUGCCUCAUAUUUUCACUAUGUAAUGGGGAAAACUGAUUAGAUGGAAAAAUCAACUCCAUUGUCUAGAUAACAAUGAUUAUUGGAUCCUAAAUCCAGGAACUAAUCCCAAAGCAAACAGGUAGGAAUCAAAAAAGGAGAUUGUAGUUUUUCAAAUGGCACUUAAUAUGGUUCCACAGUCCAUUAUGUUUUCUGAGGCUGAAUAAAAGGAGGCAUAAACAAUGAAAAGAACUGUAAAUGUUUUAAAAUGCAAUAAUGAUGAUUUAAAAGGAAAAAAUACUUCUUGACAUUAAAACAUCUACUGAGGUCAAUCCCUUUUAAUCCCAAAUCAAUGUCUAUUUGUUACAUUGAAUACAAUUCUCAUUCCUGUUUUAUCUCUCUAGCUUCACAGUGAUUUACUGAUUUAUUUACCUUCAUCUAGAAACCUUAAAUUUUGAAGGUCACUGCUUAACAUCAAUCUUAAAUUAUAAAAUGUUUAAAAGCCUUUAUAAUAAUCCUUUGUUAACGUAUUACAUUUGUUUUAUUAUGAAAUUUUUCAAAAGUUUAUAGAACUAGACUGCUGCAGUGAUCCAGACUAUACCCAUAAUCUAUUUCCAGCAGCCACCGAUCUUUAGCUACUAUUUCUAUCUUCCUUCCACCUUUAUUUUUUGCUGAAUUUUAAAAUAAUUUUUAGAUACCAUUUUAUAUCAACUAUCAAUCUCUCUUUUGUCAUGUCUAGAACAUUUUAAACAACAAAAAAAUGCCAUGAAAAUACCUAAUAAAAUUAGUAAGAACUGCUUAACAUCAUAUAAUACCUAAUUCAUUUUGUACUUUUCCCUUAAAGCUUCAUAGAUUUUAUCAUUGUUUUGUUUAAAUCAAGGUCUAAAAAAGGCCCAUAUGUUGCAUUCAUUUGCUUUGUCUCCUGAAUCUUUUAUUCAUAACUGUCUUCUCAUUUUCUCCCAUGCCAUUAAGUUGAAGAUAUAAGAUUGCUUUUCCUGCAGAAUCUCACAAUCUCAAUUUCCUUGAUUGCUUCCUUAUAAAUACAGAAUAAUCCCUGGAUAAGCUUAAUCUUAAUCAGAAAAGCAAAUGGCUCUUUUUGGAUAAAUUUUAAAUAUUAUAAGUUAAAGGCAUUCCAAGUGAACACUAACAAAUUAAGACUUAUAGUAUAAUUAAACUAUACCAAUCAUAAAUGCUUAAUAUGUAGGACAAUGAAUGCCCAAAAACCAGGACAGAGAAAAAUGCUAUAAUAAGCUUCAUAGCAAAAAAAAGAUGUGUGUGUCACAUUUAUUUCUUUUUUUUCUUUUGUCACAUUUAUUUCUAACAAUAUUUGACCAAUACCAGAUUUAACAAAACCAAAGAUGUAACAUUAUAUCUAAUGUUUGGUGCAAAAGAUCUAGUCUAUUUCUACCUGAAUUGAAAGGUAAAGUACACUGUUCAUGUCAAGCAAGGCUGAGAUACAACCCCUCAGGAAGCACAAGCAGACUCCUGGUAUUUGUUUAGAGCUCUGAUAAGCACACCUUCUGCCCUUACUUUGCUUUUCU
This 5305-nucleotide long non-coding RNA is filed under the name Canis lupus familiaris (dog). RNAcentral's name for it is "lncRNA (ENSCAFG00845028682.1)". Lineage: Eukaryota; Metazoa; Chordata; Mammalia; Carnivora; Canidae. The record is from RNAcentral.